GGAGAGAUGGCAGAGUGGUUUAAUGCGGCGGUCUUGAAAACCGUUGAAAAAAAUUUAAUUUUUCCGUGGGUUCGAAUCCCUCUCUCUCCG
Molecule: transfer RNA, 90 nt
Filed under: Candidatus Shikimatogenerans bostrichidophilus
Lineage: Bacteria; Pseudomonadati; Bacteroidota; Flavobacteriia; Flavobacteriales
Description: tRNA-Ser
Rfam family: tRNA
About the family: Transfer RNA (tRNA) molecules are approximately 80 nucleotides in length.
Source: RNAcentral